Molecule: ribosomal RNA, 400 nt
Filed under: uncultured bacterium
Lineage: Bacteria
Description: bacterial SSU rRNA
Rfam family: Bacterial small subunit ribosomal RNA
Source: RNAcentral
UGGGGAAUAUUGGACAAUGGGCGCAAGCCUGAUCCAGCCAUGCCGCGUGAAUGAUGAAGGCCUUCGGGUUGUAAAGUUCUUUUAGUAGGGAAAAUUAUGAUGGUACCUACAGAAAAAGCUCCGGCUAACUUCGUGCCAGCAGCCGCGGUAAUACGAAGGGGGCUAGCGUUGUUCGGAAUUACUGGGCGUAAAGCGUUUGUAGGCGGUCAUUCAAGCUAGUGGUGAAAUCCCAGGGCUCAACCCUGGAAUUGCCAUUAGAACUGUUUGGCUAGAGAAUGUUAGAGGAAAGUGGAAUUCCUAGUGUAGGAGUGAAAUCCGUAGAGAUUAGGAGGAAUAUCGAUGGCGAAGGCAGCUUUCUGGGACAUUUCUGACGCUGAGAAACGAAAGCGUGGGUAGCAAA